CUUAAAGGAAUUGACGGACCCGCACGAAGCGGUGGAUCAUGUUGUUUAAUUCGACGAUACGCGAAGAACCUUACCAGGUCUUGACAUCCCCUGCAAAGCUAUGGAGACAUAGUGGAGGUUAUCAGGGAGACAGGUGGUGCAUGGUUGUCGUCAGCUCGUGUCGUGAGAUGUUGGGUUAAGUCCCGCAACGAGCGCAACCCUUAUUGCUAGUUACCAUCAUUAAGUUGGGGACUCUAGCGAGACUGCCAGUGAUAAACUGGAGGAAGGUGGGGAUGACGUCAAAUCAUCAUGCCCCUUAUGACCUGGGCUACAAACGUGAUACAAUGGCUGAAACAAAGGGCAGCGAAGGAGCGAUCUGGAGCGAAACCCAAAAAGCAGUCUCAGUUCGGAUUGAAGUCUGCAACUCGACUUCAUGAAGUCGGAAUCGCUAGUAAUCGCGGAUCAGAACGCCGCGGUGAAUACGUUCCCGGGCCUU
RNAcentral lists this ribosomal RNA (475 nucleotides) under uncultured Acholeplasma sp. Its description in RNAcentral is "bacterial SSU rRNA". It matches the Rfam family "Bacterial small subunit ribosomal RNA", at positions 900 to 1382 of the family's 1533-position model. Lineage: Bacteria; Bacillati; Mycoplasmatota; Mollicutes; Acholeplasmatales; Acholeplasmataceae. The record is from RNAcentral.